UUCUAUCAUGAGAUGGGUCCUACUAUGAG
RNAcentral lists this non-coding RNA (29 nucleotides) under Mus musculus (house mouse). The record is from RNAcentral. Lineage: Eukaryota; Metazoa; Chordata; Mammalia; Rodentia; Muridae.